RNAcentral lists this transfer RNA (74 nucleotides) under Pyxidicoccus fallax. It matches the Rfam family "tRNA". Rfam says of the family: Transfer RNA (tRNA) molecules are approximately 80 nucleotides in length. RNAcentral also lists the same sequence under 1 other name. Lineage: Bacteria; Pseudomonadati; Myxococcota; Myxococcia; Myxococcales; Myxococcaceae. The record is from Rfam by way of RNAcentral.
GCCGCGGUAGCCCAAUCGGUAGAGGCACUGCAAUCAGAGUGCAGAGAGUGCGGGUUCGACUCCCGCUCGCGGCA